CUGUCGGUAUUUAUAUUAAAUCGAACAGAAUAAUUUAUAUUAAGUUUCAACUCAUAUCCUUAACGGAAUGAGAGUGAGGA
Clostridium cadaveris is the source of this 80-nucleotide regulatory RNA element. It matches the Rfam family "pan motif". Lineage: Bacteria; Bacillati; Bacillota; Clostridia; Eubacteriales; Clostridiaceae. The record is from Rfam.